AUGGAAUGUUCUUUGCCGUUUGGAGGAAAGGUUGUUGUCUUUGGUGGUGAUUUCAGGCAGGUCCUACCCGUUGUGACACGUGGGACAAGAGCACAGGCUGAUCCUUGGUUCUCAGAAUACCUACUAAGGAUAGGCAAUGGAACUGAAGAGACAAUUGGCGACGAUUAUGUCCGUCUCCCUGACGAUAUUGUCAUUGGCUAUAACGAUGAUGAAAAAGCUAUUAACAUGCUCAUCGAAAAUGUCUUCCCAUCUUUGCAGGCCAAUGCAAGAUCGAGAGAGUACAUGAGUGCACGUGCUAUUCUUUCAACCAAAAACGAUCAUGUCGAUGACCUGAAUGACAAGAUGAUCUCCAGGUUUCCAGGCGAAGAAAAGUUAUACCAUAACUGUCCGGUCAUUCUGCUCCGGAACCUCGACCCUCAUAAUGGCCUAUGCAAUGGAACACGGCUUAUGAUCAGAGCCUUUCAGGAUAAUGCAAUUGAUGCGGAGAUUGUUGGUGGUCAGCAUGCUGGAAAGAGGGUGUUUAUACCUAGGAUCCCUAUGUCGCCCUCGGAGGACAUCUCACUUCCUUUCAAACUUAAGAGAAAACAGUUCCCCAUCCGCCUGAGUUUUGCGAUGACAAUUAACAAGGCACAGGGUCAGACCAUCCCAAAUGUCGGCAUUUACCUUUCCGAGCCAGUAUUCUCAGAUGGUCAGCUCUAUGUUGCAUUGUCAAGAGGAGUGUCGAGAGAGACGACGCGGAUUUUGGCCAAGCCAAACAAAGAUGUUGAUAAAUCCGGGAAAAGCACCAAGAACAUUGUCUACAGAGAUGUUUUGGAGAGAUGA
RNAcentral lists this ribosomal RNA (822 nucleotides) under Triticum aestivum (bread wheat). RNAcentral's name for it is "partial small subunit ribosomal RNA". Lineage: Eukaryota; Viridiplantae; Streptophyta; Magnoliopsida; Poales; Poaceae. The record is from RNAcentral.